CGGGGGGGGUAAGCGUUGUUCGGAAUUACUGGGCGUAAAGGGCUCGUAGGCGGCCAACUAAGUCAUACGUGAAAUCCCUCAGCUUAACUGGGGAACUGCGUGUGAUACUGGAUGGCUUGGAUUUGGGAGAGGGAUGCGGAAUUCCAGGUGUAGCGGUGAAAUGCGUAGAUAUCUGGAGGAACACCGGUGGCGAAGGCGGCAUCCUGGACCAAUAUUGACGCUGAGGAGCGAAAGCUAGGGGAGCAAACGGGAUUAGAUACCCCGGUAGUCCUAGCCCUAAACGAUGAAUGCUUGGUGUAGCGGGUAUCGAUCCCUGCUGUGCCGAAGCUAACGCAUUAAGCAUUCCGCCUGGGGAGUACGGUCGCAAGGCUG
RNAcentral lists this ribosomal RNA (372 nucleotides) under uncultured organism. Its description in RNAcentral is "bacterial SSU rRNA". It matches the Rfam family "Bacterial small subunit ribosomal RNA", at positions 526 to 896 of the family's 1533-position model. The record is from RNAcentral.